CCUCGCAUGUUCCUGGUUUUAGACGUGACUCCCAACAGACACAUGAGAGACCAUGGGCCUAACCAGAUGAGUGGGCCAUAAGGACAAGGUCUACAUCAAGAAAGCAGUCAUCUGGAAGCCAGAGGGGCAUCACUGAGAAACCCAUGCAAGGCUCUCAAGGAGGGGAGAAGAUGAGCUUUAACCCUGCGUGGGAGGACAGACAUCGAUGUUGCUGUGAUGGUACAAGCUGAGUCAGAGUUUUGGAGAGACACAAAGUACCCAUGUCUUCAAAUGAAGUCCAGGAAGAUUGCGGGAAACCAGGCCACACACACUCUAGUGUGCUCUGGCUAAAAGAGCAGAGAAUCCUUCCUUAGAGCCGGAGGCCUUAAGUGGAUAAGGCUGGCCACUGAGCGGCGAUUUUGACAACAUGAACUGAAGCAUACACAGUGAGAAGCAGCUGGCCAAGGGGAAUGGCCGACCUGCAUGUCCAGCUGUUAUGGUCAAGUAUUCAUGGCUGGCGAAAGAAGGAAAAACUACAGAGUGUUGCUCUAGCUUUGGUCUUGCCCGAGCAGGUGUCUAUUCUGCCCUCUGAAGACAAGAUCUUAAAGACACAAAGCCUUCUCCAACCCUCCUUUGGUGAUGUGGCCUUGGCAACUAAUGCAAGUGACUUAACAUGGACACAUUCAUUCUGGAGGCUAAGGAGGGACUGUGGCCAUGGAGCACUGGAGUCAGUCCAUACUGGCUCACAAGAGCUGACUGUUAAUUUUUCCAGAACUUUGUGAGCUGGUUGUUAAAGACAUACAUCAUUUGAAAUUAAAUGACAUAAACUAACCAUUACCUCACACUAAAAACAAGGGCACUGGCUGCUCAAAACUGA
Non-coding RNA from Cricetulus griseus (Chinese hamster), 856 nucleotides. Lineage: Eukaryota; Metazoa; Chordata; Mammalia; Rodentia; Cricetidae. The record is from RefSeq and is a predicted model, not a curated record.